CGAACGGAAAUAUGAUUAGUUUACUAAGAUUAUUUUAGUGGCGGACGGGUUAGUAACACGUGAGCAACUUACCUCAAAGUGGGGGAUAGCCUUCCGAAAGGGAGAUUAAUACCGCAUGUGACCUCCGGGUCAAAGGGUGCUAAUUUAUUAGCACUCGCUUUGAGAUAGGCUCGCGUCCUAUCAGUUAGUUGGUGAGGUAAUGGCUCACCAAGACUACGACGGGUAGCUGUUCUGAGAGGAAGAUCAGCAACACUGGAACUGAGACACGGUCCAGACACCUACGGGUGGCAGCAGUCGAGAAUCAUUCACAAUGGACGCAAGUCUGAUGGUGCAACGCCGCGUGGAGGAUGAAGGCCCUAGGGUCGUAAACUCCUGUCAUAGCAGAGUAAGGCAUAUUAGUUAAUAGCUGAUAUGUUUGAUAGUAUGCUAAGAGGAAGGGACGGCUAACUUCGUGCCAGCAGCCGCGGUAAUACGAAGGUCCCGAGCGUUAUUCGGAAUCACUGGGCGUAAAGGGAGCGUAGGCGGCGCGGUAAGUCAGAUGUGAAAUCUGGGGGCUCAACCUCCAAACUGCAUUCGAUACUGCCGUGCUAGAGUAAUGGAGAGGUAACUGGAAUUCUCAGUGUAGCAGUGAAAUGCGUAGAUAUUGAGAGGAAGACCAAUGGCGAAAGCAGGUUACUGGACAUUUACUGACGCUGAGGCUCGAAGGCUAGGGUAGCGAAAGGGAUUAGAUACCCCUGUAGUCCUAGCAGUAAACGAUGUGCGCUUGGUGUGGGAGGGUUCGACCCCUUCUGUGCCGGAGCUAACGCGUUAAGCGCACCGCCUGGGGAGUACGGUCGCAAGACUAAAACUCAAAGAAAUUGACGGGGACCCGCACAAGCGGUGGAGUAUGUGGCUUAAUUCGAUGCAACGCGAAGAACCUUACCUAGGCUUGACAUGUAUCGCUAAUCUCCCGAAAAGGAGUGAGCCUUCGGGCACUUUACACAGGUGCUGCAUGGCCGUCGUCAGCUCGUGUCGUGAGAUGUU
RNAcentral lists this ribosomal RNA (1023 nucleotides) under uncultured Verrucomicrobiota bacterium. RNAcentral's name for it is "bacterial SSU rRNA". It matches the Rfam family "Bacterial small subunit ribosomal RNA", at positions 63 to 1076 of the family's 1533-position model. Lineage: Bacteria; Pseudomonadati; Verrucomicrobiota. The record is from RNAcentral.